GAGGCGAACCGGGGGAACUGAAACAUCUAAGUACCCCGAGGAAAAGAAAUCAACCGAGAUUCCGAAAGUAGCGGCGAGCGAAAUUGGACUAGCCCUUAAGCUUUACACGCGUUAGACGAACGGUCUGGAAAGUCCGACGAUACAGGGUGAUAGUCCCGUAGUUGACGACGUGUGUUCAGUGAAAUCGAGUAGGGCGGGACACGUGAUAUCCUGUCUGAAUAUGGGGGGACCAUCCUGAAAUAGAACCUGAAACCGUGUACGUACAAGCAGUAGGAGCACCUUCGUGGUGUGACUGCGUACCUUUUGUAUAAUGGGUCAGCGACUUAUAUUCAGUGGCAAGGUUAACCAUCUAGGGGAGCCGUAGGGAAACCGAGUCUUAACUGGGCGUUCAGUCUCUGGAUAUAGACCCGAAACCAGGUGAUCUAGCCAUGGGCAGGUUGAAGGUUGAGUAACAUCAACUGGAGGACCGAACCGACUAAUGUUGAAAAAUUAGCGGAUGACUUGUGGCUAGGGGUGAAAGGCCAAUCAAACCUGGAGAUAGCUGGUUCUCCCCGAAAGCUAUUUAGGUAGCGCCUCGGACGAAUACUACUGGGGGUAGAGCACUGUUAAGGCUAGGGGGUCAUCCCGACUUACCAACCCUUUGCAAACUCCGAAUACCAGUAAGUACUAUCCGGGAGACACACGGCGGGUGCUAACGUCCGUCGUGGAGAGGGAAACAACCCAGACCGCCAGCUAAGGUCCCAAAUUACUACUAAGUGGGAAACGAUGUGGGAAGGCUCAGACAGCCAGGAUGUUGGCUUAGAAGCAGCCAUCAUUUAAAGAAAGCGUAAUAGCUCACUGGUCGAGUCGGCCUGCG
This 856-nucleotide ribosomal RNA is filed under the name Vibrio parahaemolyticus. RNAcentral's name for it is "partial 23S ribosomal RNA". It matches the Rfam family "Bacterial large subunit ribosomal RNA", at positions 176 to 1163 of the family's 2925-position model. The record is from RNAcentral. Lineage: Bacteria; Pseudomonadati; Pseudomonadota; Gammaproteobacteria; Vibrionales; Vibrionaceae.